ACACCGGCGCCCCGAGUGGGAGCCGCGAUUAUUGGGCCUAAAGCGUCCGUAGCCGGCCCAGUAAAUGCCCUGUGAAAUCCUCCAGCUUAACUGGAGGGGGUGCAGGGUAGACUGCUGGGCUAGGGACCGGGAGGCGCCAGGAGUAUUCCCGGGGUACCGGUAAAAUGGGAUAAUCCCGGGAGGACUACCGGUGGCGAAGGCGCCUGGCGAGAACGGGUCCGACGGUGAGGGACGAAAGCUGGCGGAGCAAAGGGGAUUAGAAACCCUAGUAGUCC
Molecule: ribosomal RNA, 275 nt
Filed under: uncultured bacterium
Lineage: Bacteria
Description: partial 16S ribosomal RNA
Rfam family: Archaeal small subunit ribosomal RNA
Source: RNAcentral